Carassius gibelio (silver crucian carp) is the source of this 3412-nucleotide long non-coding RNA. RefSeq lists it as uncharacterized. Lineage: Eukaryota; Metazoa; Chordata; Actinopteri; Cypriniformes; Cyprinidae. The transcript has 3 exons. The record is from RefSeq and is a predicted model, not a curated record.
AGCAUACUCAUCAGCUGUGAUCAGCUGGCCUACUUGUUUGGGAAGUCUGCUCAAGGCCGGAGUCCAAUCUGAAUUGUGUGUGAAAGACGGAAUAAAUGUGAGGCCUUUCAUGAGCAGGGAUGACUGUGAGGGAGAGAGAGUAAAGUGUUUGGAAAGAUUCACAACAAGCCUGUGUGCACCCUUUCUCGGGUGUUCACUCACUGCAAGUUUAAAUAUCGUGCCCAGUGUUCCAACAUGUUCCUGGCUGUCUCUGCAGUCCAGUGCAGGCCGUCACUCUCUACCUGAAACUGAUCCUCUGGCAGGAGGGGGAUGAAGGAAUAAUUUUCCUCUAUGUAAUUGUUCAAUUCAUCUAAAAAUAUUUUUUCUCCUUCUGGGAGAGAUUGGGGGAUAUUGAUCAGGGGGAUCCACAGUUGGGCCUCUGGCAGUCUCUCUUGUGCCACCUGACUCAAUCUGGCACACUCUCUCAUCGCUGAGAUGCGUAAUCUUUGUGUGCGGUUAUUCAGGCCGAAUGCCAAGACUAUUUUUUCUACUUGUGUGUCUACUGUAGCUUUUUCUAUCAGAUUGGCCGCGUGCUGCAAUUUAGCCCCUGGAAAACUGUCAAUCUGUAAAUCAGGAAUGUCAAAAGCAGGAAUCCUGCUCAAAUUGGAGUCCCCGAUGACCACGUGUUUCUCUUUGAGUGCCAGUUUCCACUCAUUGAACUUCUUGUUAGUUCUAAGAGAUAAUGUUUUCCAUUUUUUUGGAAGUUUCCCCCCUCUCUGUCUCCUGAGGAGCCCCUGGUUGAAGAGAUGUCACAGAAUAUUCUGAAAAAUCAAAGUCUGAGAGAUUUGGUGACCCUGACGGAUUUUGGAAGAUCUGGGCACUCUCAGCUGUGUCCCUUAGAGGAUUUACUCUAUGUACUGCAUUGGCUACAAUGGGGACCAGAGAAGGCAGGCCUGUGGUUAUCGGGGCCUCAGCCUCAGAGGGGGCAAAAGGAGAGAAAAGUUCCUGUGACAGCUGACCCGUAAACUCAUCUAAAUCAUCCAGUCUGUCACCCUGUGCAGGAGUUAACUGAUCCUCCUCCUCAUCAUCAUCAUCAAAACUCACUAAGAGAUUUUUCUCAGCUUGUUCUGUAACGACUGGUGGAGUUUUUGGUCUCUGUUCUGUCAGGUGUUUUUUCUUUUCUGGUCUUUUCCCCUUAGGAGACUGUAUAGGGGCCUGUAUAGGGGCCUGUACAGGAGGGUUCAGAGGUGGAAAAUCAUCUCCCAGAAGCCAGUCGUUCCUCAUAGGAGACCAGCCUGACAUUAAAGUGGGCGAUGUUUGUAUCUGGAUGUGUGUGACCCCUGUCUUAGGUCUGACGACCCCUGUGUUGACCGUUUCUGUCCCCUGCUGAGCUGAGGCUAGAUCUGCACCACUAACCACCUGAGCAAAUGUUCUGUUGCUACUGGUUUCAGAAUUCGAUGGUACUCUAGACCCGGAUGGAGUCCCAGAACGCAAUUCGGUCAGGACCAAAGUUUCGGCCUGCUGAAUUGCCCUCUGGGAGAUCCUUUUGCCAAAAUUUCUCAUCGCCCAUUUUACAGCGAUCUCAAAAGCGUGUAACCAGUCUUUUCUCUGUGUCUCUCCCCGUAAGAUCCCCAGUGUGUGCUUUAUGAUAUCCUCAUAAUGUUGCUGUAACACCAACUGUGUCGUAAACGCCCAGUUCUUUGCAUUACCCUCCAGCAAUUCUUUUGUGGACAUUGUGGGGGCAAAGGGUUUGAUCACACUUUUAAGAAGCUCUGUUAACCUUUUAAGAGUGACAGGCUGGUUAUCUUCUAUCCGUGUGUCAAUAUUACUGAGGUGAUGGACAGAUCUGAUCAGAUGAUACAUAUUCUUAAUAAUUCUCCGAAAAGUGGGAGAAGCAGGAGAGUAUUCUGUAUUUUUUUGUGAAUCAAAGUGAGUUUUUUGGCCCAUUCUUUUUUUCUGGUGAACAUAUUUUUGUGCAAACUGGCCAUUCUCACGUCUCCUGUUCUUUUCUACAUUACGAGGAGAAUAUUGUGUGUUUCUGUAUCUCUGGUCAGUAAACCUGUUCUGUUCAGUGGGGUAAAAAAUCCUAUUUUGCCCAAAAGUCACUCUCUUUUGUUUGGGUUUAAAUCCCCGAUUUAAAGGGCGUCGAUCACGUGACUGACGACGGAAAGGAUUUACAGUAUUCUCCGAUCGAGUUUCAUUCUGUACUCUGUUACUGUAACCCGCGAGUGAUUCUCCGUGUCUGAUGACCUCAUAUGGGAAGUCACGAGAUCGCUCGACAAAAUAAUCGUCCCUCAUAAAUCGUCCCCGUCUGGGGAAAUCCCUGUUAUCUGUGUGAGGGAUCAGACGCGCUCGAGGGGUCGUGAAACGACCCUUGUUCUGAAAAACGAACACCAUCCUUAUUUUACUGAACGAUCAAAUCCACAACUGUGUAUUCUUUUAAUCUUUUAUUCUAUUUCUGAAAAUGAAAAAAAAUGUUUUUUUUGUCCUUUUAUAUUUUUUUAACUUUUUUUUGGAUUUUCUUGUGUUUUUUUUAACAAUAAAGAGAUAAACCAACUUUUUUUGGAUUUUGUAGUGUUUUUUUCAACAGUAUGAAAUGAACCAGAUGUGUGAUUUUAUAUGAAAUCAAAAGAAAAAAGAUCAAAGGAUCAAAAUAAAAUUUCAAAAUAAUGGAAAAAAACAAAAAUAUAUUUUCUUUUAGGGAAAUAAAUGUUUCUGUGUUCAAGCCUAUAUCGCGACGUUUCGAUACUUUGAUGUAUCUUCUUCAGGCAGGCUUGAACUUUUAAAUUUUCUGUUUUAUCUCGAGAUACAAAAUAACCGUUUUACUAAAUCACCAACCAAGAUGUUACUGCAAGCAGUGCAACAAUCCUUCUGACUCAGACUGCGUUCCGUUAGGUAUAUCAAAGCCAGUCGAUGACGUCAUCGGCACGCCAUCCUCCAAUCCCUUCAAACCAAUACAAAAUUUAAACCAAACAAGCACACGAUGCAUUUUUCAAAUUUGAAUUAUGUGCGUUGCAUUUUUUAUUUUUUAUUUAUUUUUAAUCGAUGCAUGUUGCUUUUUUUAUAGAGAAUUUUUUUCUUUGCUUUUUUCAAAUUUAAACGAUGCUCUUUGCCUCUUUCAAUUUGAAAAAUGCAGCUCCUCAGUCUGCAUGUAACAAAGAAAUCAAUGCAUCCCUCAAAUGUGCUCCAAGUAGCCAUAAAUAAUAUUUUUUAAUCAUUUAUGACUAUUAAAGCCCUCUAGUGCCUCAUAAUAUAUGUAUUUUUAUUUAUUGUAUAUUUAUGUAUAUUCAGUUCUGUUUCUAUAUGUUUUUCACAAUCAUCUCUUUCUGUUUUAUAGAGAGAUACUGAAAAAAAUAUAUUCUAGUGCCCAUGAAGUAUUUAUAAUUUUAUCUUUAUGCUUUUUUAUGCUUUUUAUAUUUGUAUUAUAUUUAAC